GAUGAACGCUGGCGGCGUGCCUAAUACAUGCAAGUCGAGCGAACAGACGAGGAGCUUGCUCCUCUGACGUUAGCGGCGGACGGGUGAGUAACACGUGGAUAACCUACCUAUAAGACUGGGAUAACUUCGGGAAACCGGAGCUAAUACCGGAUAAUAUAUUGAACCGCAUGGUUCAAUAGUGAAAGACGGUUUUGAUGUCACUUAUAGAUGGAUCCGCGCCGCAUUAGCUAGUUGGUAAGGUAACGGCUUACCAAGGCAACGAUGCGUAGCCGACCUGAGAGGAUGAUCGGCCACACUGGAACUGAGACACGGUCCAGACUCCUACGGGAGGCAGCAGUAGGGAAUCUUCCGCAAAGGGCGAAAGCCUGACGGAGCAACGCCGCGUGAGUGAUGAAGGUCUUCGGAUCGUAAAACUCUGUUAUUAGGGAAGAACAAAUGUGUAAGUAACUAUGCACGUCUUGACGGUACCUAAUCAGAAAGCCACGGCUAACUACGUG
Molecule: ribosomal RNA, 497 nt
Filed under: uncultured bacterium
Lineage: Bacteria
Description: partial 16S ribosomal RNA
Rfam family: Bacterial small subunit ribosomal RNA
Source: RNAcentral